ANCUGGGUGACUAGAGUGUGUCAGAGGGAGGUAGAAUUCCACGUGUAGCAGUGAAAUGCGUAGAGAUGUGGAGGAAUACCGAUGGCGAAGGCAGCCUCCUGGGAUAACACUGACGUUCAUGCCCGAAAGCGUGGGUAGCAAACAGGAUUAGAUACCCUGGUANUCCACGCCCUAAACGAUGUCGAUUAGCUGUUGGGCAGCAUGACUGCUUAGUAGCGAAGCUAACGCGUGAAAUCGACCGCCUGGGGAGUACGGUCGCAAGAUUAAAACUCAAAGGAAUUGACGGGGACCCGCACAAGCGGUGGAUGAUGUGGAUUAAUUCGAUGCAACGCGAAGAACCUUACCUGGUCUUGACAUGUACGGAAUCCUCCAGAGACGGAGGAGUGCCUUCGGGAGCCGUAACACAGGUGCUGCAUGGCUGUCGUCAGCUCGUGUCGUGAGAUGUUGGGUUAAGUCCCGCAACGAGCGCAACCCUUGUCAUUAGUUGCCAUCAUUAAGUUGGGCACUCUAAUGAGACUGCCGGUGACAAGCCGGAGGAGGGUGGGGAUGACGUCAAGUCCUCAUGGCCCUUAUGACCAGGGCUUCACACGUCAUACAAUGGUCGGUACAGAGGGUAGCCAAGCCGCGAGGCGGAGCCAAUCUCACAAAACUGAUCGUAGUCCGGAUUGCACUCUGCAACUCGAGUGCAUGAAGUCGGAAUCGCUAGUAAUCGCUGGUCAGCAUANUGCGGUGAAUACGUUCCCGGGUCUUGUACACACCGCCCGUCACACCAUGGGAGUGGGGGAUACCAGAAGUAGGUAGGGUAACCGCAAGGAGCCCGC
Molecule: ribosomal RNA, 821 nt
Filed under: uncultured bacterium
Lineage: Bacteria
Description: bacterial SSU rRNA
Rfam family: Bacterial small subunit ribosomal RNA
Source: RNAcentral